Long non-coding RNA from Amphiprion ocellaris (clown anemonefish), 1947 nucleotides. RefSeq lists it as uncharacterized. The transcript is spliced from 2 exons. The record is from RefSeq and is a predicted model, not a curated record. Lineage: Eukaryota; Metazoa; Chordata; Actinopteri; Pomacentridae.
UAGACCAGGCUGAUCCUGGACCAUCCCACAGAUGCUCAAUCAGAUCUGGAUGUGGGGAGUGUGGAACCCAGGUGAACAGUUUAGCUCUGUCGUGUUCCUCAGACCACUCCUGAGCAGUUUUAAUUUGUCCUGCUGAGGGUGGCAGCUGGCAUCAAGGACUGCUGUUGCCAUGGAGACUAGGGGGUUGUUUGUCCUACAGUGUUUAGGUGGUGGUACAUGUCAAACAUCCACAUGAACGUCAAGGUUUCCCAGCAGAACGUUACAUUAGAACAAGAUGAUGGAUGAUGGAAACUGUGAUGGUGUUGGAUUGUCAGACCGUAAUGUUGCAGCUCAAAGCAGCUUUUCUAGCUCAGUUCAUUCUGACAUUCAGCUAUGAAUCAACACAGCAGAUGGUGAUCCAUGCUGUGGAAGUCUCACAUCUCCUGAUUUAAUGGAGCUGCUUUGCACUUUUUACACUAUUUAUUCACCAACACUUUAUUUAAUAAAAGUCCCAUCUAGUUUUUAUGAGGAAUGUGAUGUUUUAAUUUCUCUGUGAAUAACUGCAGUCUAAUGCAACAGCUGGAAUUGUAACAUCUGUCCUGAUAUUGAUCAUGAAGUAUUGAUCAGAAUACUUAUGGUCAGCAGUCAUCCCUGAAGUUUUACAUUAAAAUCUUUACUUGUGUUGUGAACUUUGGUAAGAAGCAGAAACGUUAGCGUUGCCAUGGAUACAUGAGUGUUAAAUUCUGUCCAUGUUUCCAUUUUGGGAAAUGCAGUCCAGUUCCAGAAUGUGGAGGAAUUUAGUCUCACAAUCACAGACAACAAAUAUUAUCUGAAAGUCGGGUUAUUGUUGUUUAUCAGCACAAUACAAAAAGAUUAAUGUUAGAAAUAUUCCAGUUAAGACUCUAGAAUAUCAUGAUUUACGUAAAUUUACCUCAAUAAUAUGAAUGUUCACGUUAAGAUUGUACAGUGAUAUUUAUUAUGUAAGUUUAGCUGAUUAAAGUUUAUGACUGCACUAAAAUAUUAUUUAAAUUGACAUCAUUAUUAUAAUAUUUAGGGUCAGACCCUACAGUAUUGAGACUAAGAAAUCAAAUAUUCUAUAAAAUGUAAAUACACUGAACUCAUUUGGAUAUAUUUAAGUGAGACUCUACAAUAUUAUUUGAGACAAAUCUAUAUAAAUCAAAAUUUUAAUAAUUUUCACGCCAAACAUUUACUGGACUGAUUUAAACAUUAAAAUCAUUCCUUUCUAAUCCUCUGCUGUAGGUUCAAACCUGAGGCCUUAAAUAGAAACACACAAGUAUCUGUUAGAAGGAACUUCUGCAGAGUCCUGGUUCCAGAACAUGAUGAUAGAAUUAUAGACAAACUUUAACAAAAGCUGCCUGAGAGUUUACAGGUUUUUAUGUUAGAUUUCUUCAGUAAUUUAAUGAGAGUUAUCAGCAAUAAUCAAGUGUUCAUUUGAUGAACUUCAUUUCCUAAAACAUCCAGAAUUGGAGCUCAUAUCUUUGGCAGCUGUAAAGUUUCUGCUCCUUCAAAGUUCACAACACAAUGAAUGAAUUCCUAAAACACUCUCAAUGCUGGAGAGCGUUUGUGAUGCUGAAGCAGUGACCAGUUUUUCUGUUUCUUCUCUGGAGAUGCACAAUGAGGGACGUCUGCAGCGACUGAGAAAGAGUCUCACCACAUCCUGACAUGAGGAAAAAGACUUUAUUGAAGACUACAAUGAGAAAAACUAUCAGACAGCAGACGGCUGCAUUCAAGUCUGUAGCUGCUGAAUUCAUGGAUGAAUCAUCUGGCACUGGAGAAGAAGACCAUCAAACAUCCACGUCAGCUGAUGGAGGUCCAAGAGUCUCACCGAACAAACAACCUACAGAGUGAAGACCUCGAAUCUGAUUGGACGGCCUCCUAUUCAGCCACGUGUGAACAAAUGCCUCUAAGUUGAUUUGUUUUCUAAAAUAAAUCUAGUUUGAGUCCUAA